This 88-nucleotide transfer RNA is filed under the name marine sediment metagenome. It matches the Rfam family "tRNA". From Rfam's summary of the family: Transfer RNA (tRNA) molecules are approximately 80 nucleotides in length. The record is from RNAcentral.
GGAGAGGUGGCCGAGCGGUUUAAGGCGCACGCUUGGAAAGCGUGUGUAUGCCAAAAGCGUACCGGGGGUUCGAAUCCCUUCCUCUCCG